This 253-nucleotide ribosomal RNA is filed under the name uncultured bacterium. RNAcentral describes it as "partial 16S ribosomal RNA". It matches the Rfam family "Bacterial small subunit ribosomal RNA", at positions 524 to 776 of the family's 1533-position model. The record is from RNAcentral.
UACGAAGGGGGCGAGCGUUGUUCGGAAUUACUGGGCGUAAAGGGCGCGUAGGCGGCGACUCAAGUUAGAUGUGAAAGUCCUGGGCUUAACCUGGGGACUGCAUUUGAUACUGGGUUGCUUGAAUUCGGGAGAGGAUAGCGGAAUUCCCAGUGUAGAGGUGAAAUUCGUAGAUAUUGGGAAGAACACCGGUGGCGAAGGCGGCUAUCUGGACCGACAUUGACGCUGAGGAGCGAAAGCGUGGGGAGCGAACAGG